GAUUAGAGUUUGAUCCUGGCUCAGGAUGAACGCUAGCUACAGGCUUAACACAUGCAAGUCGAGGGGCAGCAGAUCGAAAGCUUGCUUUUGAUGCUGGCGACCGGCGCACGGGUGAGUAACGCGUAUCCAACCUUCCCUAUAGUAGAGAAUAGCCCGGCGAAAGUCGGAUUAAUGCUCUAUGUUGUAUUUAGAAGACAUCUGAAGAAUACCAAAGGUUUACCGCUAUAGGAUGGGGAUGCGUCUGAUUAGGUAGUAGGCGGGGUAACGGCCCACCUAGCCGACGAUCAGUAGGGGUUCUGAGAGGAAGGUCCCCCACAUUGGAACUGAGACACGGUCCAAACUCCUACGGGAGGCAGCAGUGAGGAAUAUUGGUCAAUGGACGGAAGUCUGAACCAGCCAAGUAGCGUGCAGGAUGACGGCCCUAUGGGUUGUAAACUGCUUUUAUAUAGGGAUAAAGUCGGGGACGUGUCCCCGUUUGUAGGUACUAUAUGAAUAAAGGACCGGCUAAUUCCGUGCCAGCAGCCGCGGUAAUACGGGAAGGUCCAGGCGUUAUCCCGGAUUUAUUGGGUUUUAAAGGGAGCGCAGGCUGAUGAUUAAGCGUGACGUGAAAUGUAGCCGCUCAACGGCUGAACUGCGUCGCGAACUGGUUAUCUUGAUUAUCUUGAGUGAGUUCGAUGUUGGCGGAAUUCGUGGUGUAGCGGUGAAA
This 706-nucleotide ribosomal RNA is filed under the name uncultured bacterium. RNAcentral describes it as "bacterial SSU rRNA". It matches the Rfam family "Bacterial small subunit ribosomal RNA", at positions 1 to 686 of the family's 1533-position model. The record is from RNAcentral.